UAGGGAAUUGUUCGCAAUGGGCGCAAGCCUGACGACGCAACGCCGCGUGGAGGAUGAAGAUCUUCGGGUCGUAAACUCCUGCCGAGUGGGAAGAAUAGUUUCCGGGCGAAUAUCCCGGGAGCCUGACGGUACCACUAAAGGAAGCCCCGGCUAACUCCGUGCCAGCAGCCGCGGUAAUACGGAGGGUGCAAGCGUUAUCCGGAUUCACUGGGUUUAAAGGGUGCGUAGGCGGGUUGGUAAGUCCGUGGUGAAAUCCCCAAGCUUAACUUGGGAACUGCCGUGGAUACUAUCAAUCUUGAAUAUCGUGGAGGUAAGCGGAAUAUGUCAUGUAGCGGUGAAAUGCUUAGAUAUGACAUAGAACACCAAUUGCGUAGGCAGCUUACUACACGAUCAUUGACGCUGAGGCACGAAAGCGUGGGGAGCAAA
Molecule: ribosomal RNA, 426 nt
Filed under: uncultured bacterium
Lineage: Bacteria
Description: bacterial SSU rRNA
Rfam family: Bacterial small subunit ribosomal RNA
Source: RNAcentral